Molecule: ribosomal RNA, 468 nt
Filed under: uncultured bacterium
Lineage: Bacteria
Description: partial 16S ribosomal RNA
Rfam family: Bacterial small subunit ribosomal RNA
Source: RNAcentral
GACGAACGCUGGCGGCGUGCUUGACACAUGCAAGUCGAACGGAAAGGCCCUGCUUUUGUGGGGUGCUCGAGUGGCGAACGGGUGAGUAACACGUGAGUAACCUGCCCUUGACUUUGGGAUAACUUCAGGAAACUGGGGCUAAUACCGGAUAGGAGCUCCUGCUGCAUGGUGGGGGUUGGAAAGUUUCGGCGGUUGGGGAUGGACUCGCGGCUUAUCAGCUUGUUGGUGGGGUAGUGGCUUACCAAGGCUUUGACGGGCAGCCGGCCUGAGAGGGUGACCGGCCACAUUGGGACUGAGAUACGGCCCAGACUCCUACGGGAGGCAGCAGUGGGGAAUAUUGCACAAUGGGCGGAAGCCUGAUGCAGCAACGCCGCGUGCGGGAUGACGGCCUUCGGGUUGUAAACCGCUUUCGCCUGUGACGAAGCGUGAGUGACGGUAAUGGGUAAAGAAGCACCGGCUAACUACGUG